Long non-coding RNA from Sapajus apella (tufted capuchin), 3417 nucleotides. RefSeq lists it as uncharacterized. NCBI's taxonomy places the organism in Eukaryota, Metazoa, Chordata, Mammalia, Primates, Cebidae. The transcript is spliced from 2 exons. The record is from RefSeq and is a predicted model, not a curated record.
CUUGAGCCCAGGAGGCAGAGGUUGCAGUGAGCCAAGAUUAUGCCACUGCACUUCAGCCUGGGCAACAGAGUGAGACCCUGUCUUAAAAAAAAAAUAGUGCUGUGAGAAACAACAGGCAAAGUUGGAAGGGUGGUCCUGUGGCAGUUUGUGCAUGUGAGCUUUGUUUGUUUUUUAAACCAAUUUUAUUGAAGUGUAAUUUACCUCAGUGUGCUGGUAACGGCACACCCAGGUAGCACGUGCAGCUGGAUGGGUUCUGGCUGUUGUUACAUACCUGUGCACUUAUGUACAUGCCCCAAGACACAGAAUGCCCCAGCACUGCAGUAAGUUCCUUAGUGCCACUUUCUGGUUAAUUUCCCUUCCACGAGAGGCAACCUGUUAUGCCUUCUUUCACUAUAGAUGUGUUUUGUUUUAGAAUGUCGUGUAACUAGACUCUCAUGGUAUGUGUUCUCUUAUGCCUGUGUCUUUAACUCAUGUUUUGAGAUUCACCCAGGUUACAUGUUUUGUGGUUUUUCCUGUUUUCUGGCUGGGUGGUAUUCCAUUCUGUGACUGUAUUGCAGUGUGUCUGUCCACUCGCCUGUCGAUGACCCUCUGGGUUUUUGUAAGAUGCUGAGAGAGUUAAAAGUAUGAGAUUUAUGAGAGAGAAGACCUUGAAAGAAAUGGGGAGAGUAAGGAGGCCGGGCAGGGAAGGUCGCCAGAACUACAGGUUAGGACGCAGCUCUGGGAGUAUUGGCAUUCGCCCUGCGUUGGGUACAAAAGGCCAGACUCUAGUCUCCGGACAGGGAGAACAUGGGCUGCCCAGGUGCUGCGCAGAUCCCAGCAGUACUCCACAGGGUUGUCAGCUCAGCAGCUCCUCCUGGGUGGUACUUGCUCAAUGCUUGACAGGAGGUUUGAGUGGCGGGCCUCUAGGCUGCCAAGGAGAAGGCUACAGCAACGGUCUGCGUAGGCUGCGCAGGUCUUUUCUCUGGACAGAGACAUUCAGGCCUCCUGGGGGUAUACUUGAGUGCAGCUGCCAGGUCACAGCGCAGCUACAUAUUUAAGGUUCUCAGGCACUGUCUUUCCAAAGCCAUGGUGCCACGUUGCCCUGCAGUCACAGGGUGCUAGAGUUCCAGCAGCAGUGCCUCCUUGCUUAUGCCAGUGUUGUCAGUUGCAUUAAUACCCCAGGACUGCUGUAACAAUUGACCCCAAACUUGGUGGCUUCACAUAAAUGGAUUGUCUUGCAGAUCUGUGGGUUAGAAGUCCAGCAUGGGCCGGGACCAGUGUCAGCAGGGCCUUCCUUCCUGGAGGCUUGAGGUGAACCCAUGUCCUUGUCUUUCCUCGACUCUAGGGCCUGUCCACAUUCUUUAGCUUGUGGUCUUAUUCUACCAUCUUCAAAGCCAGCAACCUUGCAUAUGCGGCUGUCCCUCUAUCCUUCCACCUCCCUCUGGCCACAGCCUGUCCAGGUGCUCCAGUUUUAAGGACCUGUGGGAUUAACCUGGGCCCUCUGGAUGAUCCAGGAUCGUCUCUUCAUCUCAACGUCCUUAACUUUAAUCACAUCUGUUACGUCCCUUUUGCUGUGUAAGGUUCUGGGAGUUAGGAUGUGGAUAUCUCUGGGGACCAUUAUUCUGCCCACGAAUUAUCUUUUAAAUUGUAUCCAUUCCAUUGGGUGUCUAUCUCAUUGGAGUUUUAAUUUGCAUUCCUCCCAAGUAUCUUUUCCUGUGCUUAUUGGCCACAGAUAUUUCUUUUAUAACAGAGUCUGUUUGAAUCUAUUUUCCAUUUAAAAAAAAACCGGGCUGCUUUCUUACCGAGUUCUUUAUUUGUUCUGGGUGCAUUUCCUUUGUCAGAGAGAAUUUCUUGUGACUGUUUUCUCUCAGUCUGUGGCCUGCUUUUCAUUUUCUUGGUGGUGUCUUUUGAAGAGCAGAAAUUUUAAUUUUGAUGAAUUCAGUUUAUCAAUUGUUUUCUUUUUUUAAACAUGGGGUCUCACUGUUGCUGAGGCUGAGUGCAGGUGCCUUCUAUCCUAAAUUCACUUAUUUCCAUUAGUUUUUAUUUUGUAGAUUCCUCAGGAUUUUCUACAGGCACUGUAAUAUCUGCAAAUACAGUUAGUUGCACUUCUUUCCAAUCUUUAUUUUGUCUUAUCUCACUGGCUAAAGUGGCAGUAAGUUUGCAUUUCUACCAGCAACGUAUGAGUUUCAGUUACCCUGCAUCUUCAUUAGCACUUGGUAUCGUCUGUGCUUAUAAAAUUUUGGCCAUUUGCUUAUCUCGUUGUGGUUUGAAUUUGCGUUUUCCUAGUGACUCAUUGAGAUCUCAUUUCAUGUGCUUCUUAUUCACCCUUUAAAAAAUUUUAGUUAAAUGUUUAUUCAGUAAUAUGGUUUGGAUCUGUGUCCCUGCUCAAAUCUCAUGUUCAGUUGUAAUUCCCAAUGUUGAGGUAGGGUGUGGUGGGCCUGGUCCAGUCACCAUGGGGGCAGUUUCUCAUGAAUGGUUUAGCCCCAUCUCCUUUGGUACUGUGGUUGUGAUGGUGAGUUCUCUUGAGAUCUGGCUGUUUAAAAGUGUGGUACCUCCCCCUUCUCUCUCUCGCUCCUGAUCCCACCAUGUGAGACUCCUUCCUCCCCCUUUGCCUUCUGCCAUGAUUGGAAGCUUCCUGAGGCCUCCCCAGAAGCAGAUGCUGUUGUGUUUCCUGUACAGCCUGCUGAACCAUGAGCCAAUUAAGCCUCUUUUCUCUAUAAAUUACCCAGCCUCAGGUAGUUCUUUAUAGCAAUGCGAGAAUGGACUAAUACAUUCAGAUACUUUGCCCAUUUUAUUAGUUGGAUUGUUGUAUUGUGUUGUGAGAGUUUUUUAAUAUAUUCUGGAUACAAGUCAUUUAUCAGAUAUAUGCAUUAUAAAUAUUUUCUCCCAGACCGUGGGUUAUGGUGUCUUCUGAACUGCAAAAGUUUUUGAUUUUCAGUUUAUACUUUUUUUCUGUUAUGGAUUAUGUUGUUAAUGUUAUCUCUAAAAUACAUUUGCCUAGGUAAGAUCAUGACAGUUUUCUCCCAUGUUCUCUUCUAGAAGUUUUAUUAGAGUUUCAGUGCUACAUUUAGGUCUUGGACCCAUUUUGAGUUUUAAUUUAAAAAAAUUUUAUGUUGUGGCGUAAAAGUCUAAAUUCACUUGUUAGCAUAUAGAUAGCCAGUUGUCCCAGCACUGUUUGUUGAAAAGAUUAUCUUUGUUCAUUGAAUCAUCUUGGUAUCUUUGCUGAAAAGCAGUUGGGCUUACAAAUAAGGGUUUAUUUCUGGACUCAGUUUUGUUCCAUUACAGUGUAUGUCUAUUCUUAUACUAGUACCACACUGUCUUGAUUACAGUAGUUUCAGUUUUUCAAAAUUGAAAAACAAUUCUCGUUUUUCAGAAUUGUUGUGGUUCUUUUGGGUCGUUUGCAUUUCCGUAUGAAUUAUAGGCUUAACUUCUAAAUUU